GAUGAAGAACGCAGCGAAAUGCGAUAAGUAAUGUGAAUUGCAGAAUUCAGUGAAUCAUCGAAUCUUUGAACGCACAUUGCGCCCGCCAGUAUUCUGGCGGGCAUGCCUGUUCGAGCGUCAUUUCAACCAUCAAGCCCCAGGCUUGUGUUGGGGACCUGCGGAAGCCCCCUGCGGGCACAACGCCGUCCCCCAAAUACAGUCGCGGUCCCGCCGCAGCUUCCAUUGCGUAGUAGCUAACACCUCGCAACUGGAGAGCGGCGCGGCCACGCCGUAAAACACCCAUCUUCUGAAUGUUGACCUCGAAUCAGGUAGGAAUACCCGCUGAACUUAAGCAUAUCAAUAAGCGGAGGA
Molecule: unclassified non-coding RNA, 351 nt
Filed under: soil metagenome
Description: partial contains 5.8S ribosomal RNA, internal transcribed spacer 2, and large subunit ribosomal RNA
Rfam family: 5.8S ribosomal RNA (bases 1-120)
Source: RNAcentral